This 240-nucleotide unclassified non-coding RNA is filed under the name soil metagenome. RNAcentral describes it as "partial contains 5.8S ribosomal RNA, internal transcribed spacer 2, and large subunit ribosomal RNA". The record is from RNAcentral.
AACGCACGAGACCUGCGGACCUGCGGAGGGAUCAUUAAAAAUGCGGCCGCAUUCGAUUGAAUGGGGUCAAACUUUUAUUCUGUGCACUGUUUUAUUUUUUGGCUGGGAAUUUAUUCUCGGUCAAUUGGCUGGGGAAUUUGCUCUUUCCUUUGGGAUAGAGUCGAAUUUCCCAGUGUUAUUAUACUAUUCUGACUGAACCAAAACAGAAAAUUGUUUAACUAAAUAACAACUUUUAACAAU